GCGCGAAAACUUUACAAUGCCGGCAACGGCGAUAAGGGGACCUCGAGUGCCAGGUUACAAAUCUGGCUGUCGUGAUGCCUAAAAAGCAUUGCAUAGCAAGGGCCGGGCAAGACCGGUGCCAGCCGCCGCGGUAACACCGGCGGCUCGAGUGGUAACCGUUAUUAUUGGGUCUAAAGGGUCUGUAGCCGGCCGGAUAAGUCUCUUGGGAAAUCCAGCAGGUUAACUGUUGGGCUUUCAGGGGAUACUGGCUGGCUCGAGGCCGGGAGGGGUGAGAGGUACUUCAGGGGUAGGGGUGAAAUCUUGUGAUCCUUGAAGGACCACCAGUGGCGAAGGCGUCUCACCAGAACGGACCUGACGGCAAGGGACGAAAGCUAGGGGCACGAACC
RNAcentral lists this ribosomal RNA (386 nucleotides) under uncultured prokaryote. RNAcentral describes it as "bacterial SSU rRNA". It matches the Rfam family "Archaeal small subunit ribosomal RNA", at positions 339 to 725 of the family's 1478-position model. The record is from RNAcentral.